Molecule: ribosomal RNA, 464 nt
Filed under: Rhipicephalus sanguineus (brown dog tick)
Lineage: Eukaryota; Metazoa; Arthropoda; Arachnida; Ixodida; Ixodidae
Description: partial 16S ribosomal RNA
Rfam family: Archaeal large subunit ribosomal RNA (bases 311-464)
Source: RNAcentral
UGCUCAAUGAUUUUUUAAAUUGCUGUGGUAUUUUGACUAUACAAAGGUAUUGAAAUAAGAUUUUAAUUGAAUGCUAAGAGAAUGGAAAUACAGGAAAAAACUUUUUUUUUAAAUUAAAAAUUGAAAUUUUUUUAAUUUGUGCAGAAACAAUUAUUAAUAUUAAGGACAAGAAGACCCUAUGAAUUUAUUAAAUUUUAUUUAAUAUGUAAUUACUAUUAGAAAAAUUUUGGCUGGGGCGGCUAAAAAAUAUUUUAAACUUUUUAAAAAUAAAAUGAUCCAUUAUUAAUGAUUAUAUGUUAAAUACUCUAGGGAUAACAGCGUUAUAUUUUUUGAUAGAUCAUAUUGACAAAAAAGUUUGCGACCUCGAUGUUGGAUUAGGAUACUUUUUUAAUGCAGAUAUUAAAAAAAGAAGUUUGUUCAACUUUUAAUUUCCUACUUGAUCUGAGUUCAGACCGGACAGAUAA